RNAcentral lists this ribosomal RNA (119 nucleotides) under Triticum aestivum (bread wheat). The record is from RNAcentral. Lineage: Eukaryota; Viridiplantae; Streptophyta; Magnoliopsida; Poales; Poaceae.
GGAUGCGAUCAUACCAGCACUAAAGCACCGGAUCCCAUCAGAACUCCAAAGUUAAGCGUGCUUGGGCGAGAGUAGUACUAGGAUGGGUGACCUCCUGGGAAGUCAUCGUGUUGCAUUCC